UAUUUCUCAACUGAAGGUUGAAAAUAUCUCUGGCAAUUUUCAAAUGUGCAAACCUGCCUAUAUUAUCUGCGCUGUUCUGCGAUUCAAUGUAAACAAAAAAGAGACCGAAUUCCUUGAUAUCAUAAAAAAAGUAAACUAGUCCAGGGGGGAGCCUCAGCAGCUCCUCCCCCUCCCUGGCCGUCCAUCAGGACCGCCAAUCAACCAAAAGCUCUAUGGCAAUACGCGGUUUGUUGUUCAAUAAAAAAAAAAGAACAAGCGAGAAAAAUGAAAACUCAAUGAAAAGAAAGCUAUAUCGCAGAAUAUAAGCUCAACUCACCAAAAAUUUUCUUCGUUCAGGAUCACUACAACACACGUGUUAGUACUAGCGAUGACCCCGAGCGAGUAUGAAAAUGCUACUGAUGGCAAAUUAAAAAUAUUGAUAAACUGAAAGAUUGAAAACUGACAGAAUAAUUUUAACUGUAAAAUACUGUAUGUUCAGAAUCACAGAACAUACCCCCUUAGAAUGGAAACUGCAAUGAUUGGUUAUGGAGAUAAAUUCAGCUGUCCACCUAGCGGUAUGAGCACACAAACUAUGAGGAAUUUCUCUGAUAUUUGACUCUUAAUGAUUGCAUUUACCAAAUAUAUCGGGUCAAUAAAAAACCCUGUUAUGUAAUAUUUUAUUCAAUACGUAGUCAAUAAAUCAGUUACAACCAUG
Dendroctonus ponderosae (mountain pine beetle) is the source of this 694-nucleotide long non-coding RNA. RefSeq lists it as uncharacterized. The transcript is spliced from 2 exons. The record is from RefSeq and is a predicted model, not a curated record. Lineage: Eukaryota; Metazoa; Arthropoda; Insecta; Coleoptera; Curculionidae.